RNAcentral lists this ribosomal RNA (403 nucleotides) under uncultured bacterium. Its description in RNAcentral is "partial 16S ribosomal RNA". It matches the Rfam family "Bacterial small subunit ribosomal RNA", at positions 338 to 755 of the family's 1533-position model. The record is from RNAcentral.
CCUACGGGAGGCAGCAGUGGGGAAUAGUGGGCAAUGGGCGCAAGCCUGACCCAGCAACGCCGCGUGAAGGAAGCAGGCUUUCGGGUUGUAAACUUCUUGUAGCAGGGACGAAGCAAGUGACGGUACCUGAUGAAUAAGCCACGGCUAACUACGGGCCAGCAGCCGCGGUAAUACGUAGGGGGCAAGCGUUAGCCGGAUUUACUGGAGGUAAAGGGCGAGUAGGCGGGCGUGAAAGUCAGAGGUGACAACUAGGGGCUCAACCCCGUGCCUGCAUUUGCAACGGUACUUCUUGAGCGCUGGAGAGGCAAUCGGACUUCCGUUUGUAGCGGUUACAUGCGUAGCUCUCCGGAGGAACCCCAGUGGCGCCGGCGGAUUGCUGGACCGUACCUGACGCUGCGGCGCG